UACAGAGGGUGCAAGCGUUAUUCGGAAUUACUGGGCUUAAAGGGUGCGUAGGCUGCGCAGAAAGUUGGGUGUGAAAUACCUCGGCUCAACCGAGGAACUGCGCCCAAAACUACUGUGCUCGAGGAAGAUAGAGGUGAGCGGAACUUACGGUGGAGCGGUGAAAUGCGUUGAUAUCGUAAGGAACACCUGUGGCGAAAGCGGCUCACUGGGUCUUUUCUGACGCUGAUGCACGAAAGCUAGGGGAGCAAACGGG
RNAcentral lists this ribosomal RNA (253 nucleotides) under uncultured bacterium. RNAcentral's name for it is "partial 16S ribosomal RNA". It matches the Rfam family "Bacterial small subunit ribosomal RNA", at positions 524 to 776 of the family's 1533-position model. The record is from RNAcentral.